Paramuricea clavata is the source of this 281-nucleotide non-coding RNA. The record is from the annotation of a GenBank genome assembly. NCBI's taxonomy places the organism in Eukaryota, Metazoa, Cnidaria, Anthozoa, Malacalcyonacea, Plexauridae.
AUAACAGGGUGUUUGUAUUCCGAGUAAUGAGUAAUGAGUAAUGAGUAAUGAGUAAUGAAUUUUCCUACUUGCUUUGGAAAGAUAAACCAUGAAAACAUUGACAGUGAUUCCACACACUCUUUGCCGUAUAUCAGCGGCGGCGGAACAGAUUUCAUUCUGGGGGGGCUAAAUUUUUUUUUCGUGACCUACCACCCCCCUCCCCCCCCCGUCGCCAAAAAAAAACGGUCAGUGUACCAUUUUAGGGGUACAAAAAUUUUUCCGGACAUAUACAAGGAAAGGGA